AUUGAACGCUGGCGGCAGGCCUAACACAUGCAAGUCGAGCGGAUGAAGGGAGCUUGCUCCUGGAUUCAGCGGCGGACGGGUGAGUAAUGCCUAGGAAUCUGCCUGGUAGUGGGGGAUAACGUCCGGAAACGGGCGCUAAUACCGCAUACGUCCUGAGGGAGAAAGUGGGGGAUCUUCGGACCUCACGCUAUCAGAUGAGCCUAGGUCGGAUUAGCUAGUUGGUGGGGUAAAGGACUACCAAGGCGACGAUCCGUAACUGGUCUGAGAGGAUGAUCAGUCACACUGGAACUGAGACACGGUCCAGACUCCUACGGGAGGCAGCAGUUGGGAAUAUUUGACAAUUGGCGAAAGCCUGAUCCAGCCAUGCCGCGUGUGUGAAGAAGGUCUUCGGAUUGUAAAGCACUUUAAGUUGGGAGGAAGGGCAGUAAGUUAAUACCUUGCUGUUUUGACGUUACCAACAGAAUAAGCACCGGCUAACUUCGUG
Molecule: ribosomal RNA, 484 nt
Filed under: uncultured bacterium
Lineage: Bacteria
Description: partial 16S ribosomal RNA
Rfam family: Bacterial small subunit ribosomal RNA
Source: RNAcentral